AAUAGGUGCCCGUACCGCAAACCGACACAGGUAGGUGAGGAGAGAAUCCUAAGGCCAUCGGAAGAAUUGCUGUUAAGGAACUCGGCAAAUUGACCCCGUAACUUCGGGAGAAGGGGUGCCUACGAAAGUAGGCCGCAGAGAAUAGGCCCAAGCAACUGUUUAGCAAAAACACAGGUCUCUGCUAAAGCGAAAGCUGAUGUAUAGGGGCUGACGCCUGCCCGGUGCUGGAAGGUUAAGGGGAACACUUAGCGUAAGCGAAGGUGUGAACUUAAGCCCCAGUAAACGGCGGCCGUAACUAUAACGGUCCUAAGGUAGCGAAAUUCCUUGUCGGGUAAGUUCCGACCCGCACGAAUGGCGUAAUGAUUUGGGCACUGUCUCAACAGCAAAUCCGGCGAAAUUGUAGUGCAAGUGAAGAUGCUUGCUACCCGCGAUUGGACGGAAAGACCCCGUAGAGCUUUACUGUAGCUUAGCAUUGAAUCUCGGUAUUGUCUGUACAGGAUAGGUGGGAGACUUGGAA
This 517-nucleotide ribosomal RNA is filed under the name Clostridium botulinum. RNAcentral's name for it is "partial 23S ribosomal RNA". It matches the Rfam family "Bacterial large subunit ribosomal RNA", at positions 1633 to 2161 of the family's 2925-position model. Lineage: Bacteria; Bacillati; Bacillota; Clostridia; Eubacteriales; Clostridiaceae. The record is from RNAcentral.